This 298-nucleotide ribosomal RNA is filed under the name uncultured Sphingomonadaceae bacterium. Its description in RNAcentral is "partial 16S ribosomal RNA". It matches the Rfam family "Bacterial small subunit ribosomal RNA", at positions 111 to 426 of the family's 1533-position model. Lineage: Bacteria; Pseudomonadati; Pseudomonadota; Alphaproteobacteria; Sphingomonadales; Sphingomonadaceae. The record is from RNAcentral.
UAACGCGUGGGAAUCUGCCCUGGAGUGGGGGAUAACCGAGGGAAACCUCGGCUAAUACCGCAUACGUCCUGAGGGAGAAAGAUUUAUCGCUCUAGGAGGGGCCCGCGUCGGAUUAGCUUGUUGGUGGGGUAACGGCCUACCAAGGCGAUGAUCCGUUGCUGGUCUGAGAGGAUGAUCAGCCACACUGGGACUGAGACACGGCCCAGACUCCUACGAGAGGCAGCAGUGGGGAUUUUUGGACAAUGGGCGCAAGCCUGAUCCAGCAAUGCCGCGGCUGUGAUGAAGGCCUUAGGGUUGU